ACGGAGUGUCGUGGCGGGCACUUGUGAGCCAGCUUCUAGGCCGUAGAUUAUGGUGGAGAGAGUGAGGAAGGGAUCCCUGGUCGGAAUUCGGUCUACGACGACCGGGCGUCCGUGCCAAGCGAUGCGUCACUAGGGGGUAAGACUCGGAAGGGUCUCUCUCCCGGGUGGAAAAGGACAACCGUAUGGCUCAGGCCCGAAAGGGAGCAGGCAAAAGGUUGCGCGCCUUGACAGUGGCCGGAUAGCGUCUGCGAGUAGAUCGGCCCGAGCAGCCCUUCUGAUACCUCUCGACCCAUAAUCGC
Molecule: non-coding RNA, 299 nt
Organism: Pristionchus pacificus
Lineage: Eukaryota; Metazoa; Nematoda; Chromadorea; Rhabditida; Neodiplogasteridae
Source: Rfam